AGAGUUUGAUCCUGGCUCAGAUUGAACGCUGGCGGCAUGCCUAACACAUGCAAGUCGAACGGAAACGAUGGGAGCUUGCUCCCAGGCGUCGAGUGGCGGACGGGUGAGUAAUACUUAGGAAUCUACCCAGUAGCGGGGGACAACUCGAGGAAACUCGAGCUAAUACCGCAUACGCCCUACGGGGGAAAGCAGGGGAUCUUCGGACCUUGCACUAUUGGAUGAGCCUAAGUCGGAUUAGCUUGUUGGUGAGGUAAAGGCUCACCAAGGCGACGAUCCGUAGCUGGUCUGAGAGGACGAUCAGCCACACUGGGACUGAGACACGGCCCAGACUCCUACGGGAGGCAGCAGUGGGGAAUAUUGGACAAUGGGGGCAACCCUGAUCCAGCAAUACCGCGUGUGUGAAGAAGGCCUGCGGGUUGUAAAGCACUUUCAGUAGAGAAGAAAAUCUUAGGGUUAAUACCCCUGGGUCUUGACUUAACCUACAGAAGAAGCACCGGCUAACUCCGUGCCAGCAGCCGCGGUAAUACGGGGGGUGCAAGCGUUAAUCGGAAUUACUGGGCGUAAAGCGCGCGUAGGCGGUCUGGUCAGUCGGAUGUGAAAGCCCCCGGCUUAACCCUGGGAAUGGCAUUCGAUACUGCCCGACUAGAAUAUGGAAAAAGGAAAGUGGAAUUUCCGGUGUAACCGUUGAAAUGCGUAGAG
RNAcentral lists this ribosomal RNA (699 nucleotides) under uncultured bacterium. Its description in RNAcentral is "bacterial SSU rRNA". It matches the Rfam family "Bacterial small subunit ribosomal RNA", at positions 8 to 695 of the family's 1533-position model. The record is from RNAcentral.